AGAAUAAACGAGGACGGAACGGGCAGCCGUCGCCACUUGAAACAAACCCACGGCCGGGGUUCAAGGUAGGAGAUGUGGGAACAGGUCGCCCCACCUUAUUCU
This 102-nucleotide non-coding RNA is filed under the name unclassified sequences. The record is from Rfam.